This 416-nucleotide ribosomal RNA is filed under the name Lactobacillus crispatus. RNAcentral's name for it is "bacterial SSU rRNA". It matches the Rfam family "Bacterial small subunit ribosomal RNA", at positions 373 to 786 of the family's 1533-position model. The record is from RNAcentral. Lineage: Bacteria; Bacillati; Bacillota; Bacilli; Lactobacillales; Lactobacillaceae.
AGACGUCUGAUGGAGCACGCCGCGUGAGUGAAGAAGGUUUUCGGAUCGUAAAGCUCUGUUGUUGGUGAAGAAGGAUAGAGGUAGUAACUGGCCUUUAUUUGACGGUAAUCAACCAGAAAGUCACGGCUAACUACGUGCCAGCAGCCGCGGUAAUACGUAGGUGGCAAGCGUUGUCCGGAUUUAUUGGGCGUAAAGCGAGCGCAGGCGGAAGAAUAAGUCUGAUGUGAAAGCCCUCGGCUUAACCGAGGAACUGCAUCGGAAACUGUUUUUCUUGAGUGCAGAAGAGGAGAGUGGAACUCCAUGUGUAGCGGUGGAAUGCGUAGAUAUAUGGAAGAACACCAGUGGCGAAGGCGGCUCUCUGGUCUGCAACUGACGCUGAGGCUCGAAAGCAUGGGUAGCGAACAGGAUUAGAUACC